This is a long non-coding RNA of Gadus morhua (Atlantic cod), 1992 nucleotides long. Lineage: Eukaryota; Metazoa; Chordata; Actinopteri; Gadiformes; Gadidae. The record is from Ensembl.
AUGGAACUUCAAGAACUCGCCGACUUCCUGCGCUGCUGUGAGGCAGCCAUGUCUCAGAUCAGAGGUCUUGAAAUACUUAAUGAUUGCAACGAGAACCAGAAAAUUCUCUAUAAACUCCCAGACUGGGUGACUUCAAGGUGGAAUAGGAAAGUCAUAGAAGCAGAAGAAGACACUCACAUGUUCCCGAGCUUCAGCCAGUUUGUCAAGUUUCUCACACGUGAAGCUAAAAUCGCUUGCAGCCCAAUAACAUCUCUUCAUGCUCUUAAGCCAAGUGAAAGGAUUCCAGACAAGUGUGUAAAGAGCGGAGGUCCUGGAGCAAAGGUGUUAGCAACCACCUCAGAUGAGAAAGCCGUCGUCACAAGCUGUGUCUUCUGUGAGAAGGCAGGACACAGUCUACAAAGGUGUUACAAGUUUAUGCAAGGGACAAUCUUGGAGCGAAUCAAGUUUGUUCAAGAAAAUAAAUUGUGUUUUGGCUGUCUCAAAUUUGGCCACCGAUCUAGAGAUUGUAGAGAAAGAGACAGCUGCGACACCUGUGAGAGAAGACACCCAACUUGUCUUCAUGACGAUCGCACCAAGGAAGAAAGGAUGUCUACAAGAUCUGACAGAGCAAGGUACAGUGACAAAGACAAAGAAGAGUACAAAGAAAGGAAGAAUGAACAGUCACAAGACCAGUCAGAGAGACCAUCACGUGAGGCGACGGCGCUUAGAGUCAUCCAGAAUGUUGGAGACACGCAUACCUCCACAAUAAUUCCAGUGUGGGUGUCAUCUACAAGUGUACCAAGUCGUGAAGUUCUGGUGUACGCACUCCUUGAUACACAAAGUGACACAACCUUUAUCCUCGACGAGACAGCGAAGGCUCUCAAUGCUAGGAGUGAACCAGUUCAGCUAAACCUCUCCACGUUGGCUUCAAGAAACACAAUCGUGUCCUGUCGGAAGCUAGCUGGUCUACAAGUUAGAGGUUUUUAUUCAGACAAGAUAAUCACUCUUCCAGUGACUUACUCAAGAGAGUUUAUCCCUGCAAACAGAGACCAUAUUCCCACACCAGAUACGGCGAAAGCAUGGCCUCAUCUUGAACACAUUGCAGAUGAGAUCGCUCCUCAGCAAAGCUGUGAUGUCGGCCUGUUAAUUGGCUACAACUGUGCCCAAGCCCUCGUUCCAAGACAAGUGGUGCCUGGUGAGGAACACCAGCCGUUUGCACAAAAGACAGACUUGGGCUGGAGUGUAGUGGGAUAUGGCAACCCGUGUCUCAACUAUGGAGAUGCAAUUGGAAUAAGUCACCAAGUCAUGGUGAAGCAAGUGAUGCCAGGUCUACCGUCCUCUUCAGACCUCACAAAGGAAGUGCACUAUGUCUGUAGGACACAGAUCAAAGAAGUUCUCUUACCUGCAGAUGUCAUCAAGAUGCUGGAGUCUGACUUCGUUGAAAGAGAGUCGGAAACCAGCCCCAUCUCUCAAGAAGAUCUAAGGUUCCUGUCAAAAAUGGAAAAGAGCAUCAAGUUAAAGAGCGACGGUCAUUACGAAAUGCCGCUGCCAUUCAAGAAAGAAAGACCUAACUUACCUGAUAAUAAGAUCUGUGCUAUCCAUCGUCUCAGGUGCCUAGAAAGAAGGCUGAGAAGAAACGACCAGUACUACAAAGACUACAAGACCUUCAUGGAUGAGACCAUAAGACGCGGAGAUGCAGAAAGGGUCCCGGAGGAAGACAUCCACAAAGCUCCAGCUUGGUACAUUCCGCAUCAUGGGGUGUAUCAUCCACAAAAGCCUGGGAAGAUACGCGUUGUCUUUGAUUGCUCCGCCAAGUACCAAGGAACGUCCUUGAACGACCACCUCCUGACGGGUCCUGAGUUGACAAACACCUUGGUGGGAGUUCUGUAUCGCUUCCGAAGAGGUCCUGUGGCAAUCAUGUGUGACAUCGAACGCAUGUUUCACCAGUUCCAUGUUAAGGCAGAAGACCAAGAUUACCUGCGGUUCUUUGGUGGGACAAUGGAGAUCUCGAAA